GAUGAACGUUGGCGGCGUGCCUAAUACAUGCAAGUCGAACGGAGAAUUUGAUGUAGCAAUACAUUGAAUUUCUUAGUGGCGAACGGGUGAGUAACGCGUUGGUGACCUACCCCAAAGAGCGGGAUAACGGUUUGAAAAGAACCGCUAAUACCUCAUGUGAUCAUAUGGAUUAGAAGCCUAAUGAUUAAAGGAGCUUGCUCCGCUUUGGGAGGGGCCAGCGUACCAUCAGCUGGUUGGUAGGGUAAUGGCUUACCAAGGCUACGAUUGGUAGCCGAACUGAGAGGUUGAUCGGCCACAUUGGGACUGAGACACGGCCCAGACUCCUACGGGAGGCAGCAGUGGGGAAUAUUGGGCAAUGGGCGAAAGCCUGACCCAGCGACGCCGCGUGAAGGAUGAAGGUCUUCGGAUUGUAAACUUCUUUGAUCAGGGAAGAAAGAAAUGACGGUACCUGAAGAACAAGCCACGGCUAACUACGUGCCCAGCAGCCGCGGUAAUCUCGUCCUCUA
RNAcentral lists this ribosomal RNA (506 nucleotides) under uncultured bacterium. RNAcentral's name for it is "bacterial SSU rRNA". It matches the Rfam family "Bacterial small subunit ribosomal RNA", at positions 28 to 537 of the family's 1533-position model. The record is from RNAcentral.